UGCAUGCACAGCAGCAGGUGAACACUGCAUGGACAGCAGCAGGGUCAGCAGGUGAGCACUGCAUGGACAGCAGAGUGGUCAGCAGGUGAGCACUGCAUGGACAGCAGCAGGGUCAGCAGGUGAGCUCUGCAUGCACAGCAGCAGGUGAGCACUGCAUGGACAGCAGCAGGGUCAGCAGGUGAGCACUGCAUGGACAGCAGCAGGGUCAGCAGGUGAGCUCUGCAUGCACAGCAGCAGGUGAACACUGCAUGCACAGCAGCAGGGUCAGCAGGUGAGCACUGCAUGGACAGCAGCAGGGUCAGCAGGUGAGCUCUGCAUGCACAGCAGCAGGUGAGCACUGCAUGGACAGCAGCAGGGUCAGCAGGUGAGCUCUGCAUGCACAGCAGCAGGGUCAGCAGGUGAGCUCUGCAUGGACAGCAGCAGGUGAGCACUGCACGGACACCUGGGCACAGGCACAGCUCCAGGACAGCUUCAGUUUGGGAUUACCCAAAGGAAGAGGUCCCUGCCAGUCACCUUUGCCACACCUGCCCCAAAUCCCAGGCUCUGGAAGUCUCUUCCCUGACUCCAUUCCUGCAGUUUUCCCAUGGGAACAGGCCAGGAGCCCGUGCUGGCAAUGCCUCUGCUAUUCUCACACCCCCUGUUCAGGGUGCAACCCUCCAGGUUGUACUUUCAGUCCCUGAAUUUGGAAAACCUCUGUUCUUGAGUGCUGACUCAGGUUUGGUUUAGUGAUUCCAAGUCAGAGGAGAACCAGAAGUGACAAGGGAGGGGAAAUCUUGAGAGAGUGGCUAAGUGUUUGUGGUUCCAGGGCACAGACGGGGAAUUUUUGCCUGGAAAGGCUGUCCCUGCAGGAACCAAACCCUGGCCAUGUCCCUCCCCAGGAGCAGCACGUCCCUGAUCUGGUUUAACCCACCUGUGCCUCUGGCUGAGUGGAUGAGUCCACAUUAAAAAUUCCAAACCUGAGGGCUGCUGCUCCAGCUGGCUGUGCAGCUCUGUCACACGGCCUUGCAGCUUCAAAGGGGUGGCAGCACACAUUCCCCUCGUCCUCCCUCUGCGUGGGCUCGUGCCCAGGAGUUCUGCUUUGGGAUUUGGGAUUUGGGGCUGGAAUGGAGGAGAUCUCAAAGCCUCGGAGCACAUCAAAAAGCGCCGUGUGUGUGAUGAGUUUCUGUUUCCUAACGCAGCUUCUUCCAAGUGAAAACGCCUUUGGAGAGCCGAGCCUGCCCCAGGGGCUCCGGGCAGGGAGAGGACAGACACCCCAAAACUCGGAGGGACUCAGCAAAGGAGCUGGUGUGCCCCUGGGAGAGCCCCAAGGAGGAGGGGAGAGCGGGGUGACCCCAGCUCCCAACACAGAGCCCGGUGUUUGCUGUGCAGGGCCCAGCACGUGGAGAGGUGUGUGAGAGCCAGCACUGGGACACUGAGACCAGCACAGCUCCAGAGAGCAGCCCUGGAGUGCCCUGCUCUGACCCCACAGCUCCGAGCCUUCCUGGACUGGCUUUCGUUCCUAUCUGUGGUGUGUUCAGCUCUGCUCAUGACAAACCUGUGGAUAAAGGAGGGUGGUUUGGUGCCUAGGAGCAGAUGGAGGAUGUGUGGGUGAUGUCCUGGGAAGCAGUGUCUUAUCUGGUUCCUGGCUUGGCCAUGAGGUGUCAGCACACUGAACACAGCACAGCUGGAGCAGGGCUGUCAGAGCAGGGCUCAGGCUCCCGUGCCAAAACUGGGGCGUGUUUGUGUGCCUACCUCCUAUUAAUCACAAUUUUUUAAUUUUAAAGUGCCCUGAUUUAAGAUCCUGGGGAACGUGGAGUGCCCCUCAUGAGCAGUGUGUGCUGAGUGGCAAAGCACCAUUCCUUCAUCCAAACCAAACGUGAUCCCAGAGGCAUCAAGGAGUGCAGAGCCCUCCUGCUUUGGCUCCAGCUUCCCAGGGCAUGGCUUUGAAACCAUGGUUUGACCUGGGAGCACCUGGGGAGAUCCAAACCAAACCCCUGCUGCUGUUUUGGGCCCCUCCACGCUGGGAUUGAUGCAUUGCCACAGGCUGUGCUGAUAUUGAGUGUUGGACUGUUGCCUUCCUUGUGUCAGUGGGUGAAGGUGGUUGUUUUAUUCCCUGGAGGAAUUUCCUCAGUGUGUGUGUGUGUGCUGUGGGUCCCUGCUCUGUACCUUGGCCAUGACCUGUGACUUCUGAUGUUGCUGUUUUGUACUUUCUGGUUAUAAAUGGAGUUUUUCCUCUGUGGCUGAUGUGGUUCCACACUCUCAAUCCUGCUGUGGGAUUUAAAUCUCUCCUCACACACACUCAGUGCUCCCUGUUCCCCCAGGUCUGACAUUUCCCAUCACAGGGAAAUUUGGGAAAAUAAGAAGGCUGCUUCUGUCAGAGGGACCUGGUCCUGCUCUGCUGUCACUGACAGGGACAUCUGUUAUUAAUGAGAGACAAAAGUGGAGUCUUCUGCAA
Molecule: long non-coding RNA, 2434 nt
Organism: Oenanthe melanoleuca
Lineage: Eukaryota; Metazoa; Chordata; Aves; Passeriformes; Muscicapidae
Exons: 2
Source: RefSeq, a predicted model, not a curated record